UGGUUAUUUUGUACAUCAUAUUUUAUAUAUCAAGUUAUCUUUCUGCUGGCUCAGAGCAGGAACAGAUCCUCUAGGAAAGAUGAGUAGCACCAAUUCAUAGAAAAAAAAAAACCAAACUGGCUCAGUCAUUGUGUGAUUGAGUUGUGUAGUCACUGGCCCUUCUGCAAAUACUGGGCAUUAUUUUGGGGAACCAUUAGUCUCACUUCCUGAUAACUCUGUGAAAAAGGGAAUUAGUGCUUGUCAUGUGGCUCUUGCAUCACUGGUGAACAUUUAGCAAUUAAUUAAAAAUCUGGCUACCAUUUCCACUUAGCUAAUUGAUUAGACAUCCAUAUUAUAUAGGAGGAAAAUGAGAAAAGAUGUAUUUAUGACUUUGAAAAUUCCAUCCUUUAUAGUUAACACAUUAGGAGAGAAUACAUGUCAAUAUGAAUGCAUGGACUAUUUUGCCAAAUCAUAAAUGGUAAUUUCAACACCAGGAACAGGAUUGAAGCCAAGGUAUCAACAGAUAAGGGUUUUUUCCUGUCAUAAUCAUGGGGUGAAUUACAGUUACCACCAAUCCAUAACAUCUAGUGCCGUUGUGUCUAACUUAUGACUUGGAUUUUCUUUUCCACGUUUUCACAUUUUUUGUAAAUUAAAAUGUUAAACUUGUAGAUACACAUUUAUCUUGGUGUGAAAGCAGUGAGCAAACACUUUCACUUGUCAUACUCAUCAUCGUGAGAUUUUUUACAAAUUUGGUGGUGCCUGACAAAAGGUAUUUUUAUCCUUGCGUGGAAAAUAUUUCUUGAGAAUUGUUUCAGAAUGGCAUUCGCUUAAUUGUGAACUAGGUAAGGGAAUGUAGAGCGAACAAAGGCAAUGAUGGGCGCUAUAGAGAGGGAUAUAGAGGGGGGUUGACUCACCCUUCCUAGCUACAGCUUGGAGAAGCGGAGCUGGGGGGGGAGCCAAAGAAUGAGAGCCGAAGAAUGUAGCCUUAUCUCUCUCAUGCUGCUCCAGGCCUCAUGUGCUCAUAUAUUGGUUCAGGGUGGUUCAGGCUAUGACCUAGGAAUUCCACUACAGGGGGAAAUAAAACCUGCAAGUCACGAUAAGUCAGCAAUUGGGCUUAACAGCUAGGAGUGGAAAAUAUGAUAAUAAGUUCUUGGAAUCAAUUGUAAUAUCCACUCCUAUUCUAAUAGUAAUAUCACAAUAAUCUAUGCCUAACUUUUUGGAAUCAAUUGUAAUAGCCCCUCCUAUUCUAAUUGUAAUAUCAGAAUAAUCUAUGAUUAAUUUCUUGGAAGCAACUGUAAUAUCCCCUCCUAUUCUUGCAUAUGUAUAACUUGUCUCUAUAAACAUCCUUAACUGUCACUUUGUGGUGUGCAGGCGAGAAGGGGCUACCCCACUUGCACCCAGCGUGUGUGCAUAGUGCUGAAUAAAUGUACCUGAUAUAUAACUACUUUGUGGUUAUAGAGUUUGAUUCCGCAAGUCAAUUUGAUGAGCCAGCCAGAAGAGUUGGCUAAUCUGCAGGGCUGACUGGGACGGGGACCCUUUAGGUGUGCCCCGAGGAUUCUCAGAAAGGCUCCCUCACCCGGACCCGGCACCGCGGAGCAGAGAAAGAAACCUGGACACAGACCAGGUAUACUGCAGGUGCAGAGGACCCAUAAGUCGUAAGGAGACGUCCUAAACAGGAAUAGAGGAGCGAGGGUGCUCCCCCUGAGGGUGGAUCCACUGCUAAUAGUUGAGUGAUCGUGAUCGGUGUGGGAGCACACCCGUCGGGAAGGGGGUCCCACUUAGGGAGGUAUCUCGAGAAUUCCGAGAACUCUCAUGUAUAACUCACGAGGCAUCCCGAGAGUGAGGCUAUAAUGUGCUCGGGAAUGUAAGCUUUGUAAUACUCUGGAAAAAACGUGACCAUAAACAUGUGCCAGAUCUGUAGUUUAAAGUGACCAGACAGUGGGGGGGCAUUUGCAGUUAGCUGCCAGGAGGGGGCCUGGUAGGACCUAUGUAACGGGUUAAGUGUUCAAACUGGUUUUAGUAACAACUGUGUUUGUCAUUGUUAUCUUUGUAAUUGUUUAGUUUCUGUUAUAAAAUUAUUUGUGGAAUUCCAUUUACAAUAUAAUUCCAGGGAAUUCGGUGAUUCGGUGUUCCCGUGCCCUGAGGAAAUAGGCAGACUCCAUUUCCCAGCAAAGGAGACUUUAUAAGAAGCUGCCAUAUACUGUGAAUGCUAAAUAUUUGAUCAAAGGUGUGAGUGGUGUGAAUGUGGGUAUCGAGUAUAACUGGAUGUUUAUUUCAUCCUGAAAAUGGUUGCAAUCCUGUAAUUAUUACCAGAGGGUUGACUGUAAUACUGUCCAGGAAUUACAGUGGGAUAGAGGAAACUGGCAUUUCGGUUGGGGUUGUGGACUGGCCUUUAAAGAGGAAUAUGUACUUGGUCAAACUAAUAUACUAGCUAUAGGGGGUGGACUUUUGGGAACAAAGAAUCAAUAAAGUUCAGUACAGGGGAGCAUGGGGAAAGGAAGUUCCCAGGCAAACCCUACUCAAGAUAUUGCUGGAGAGCCUAGGGGCCCUGUGAGCAAGAAGUCUUUAAUUAAAUAUUGUAAUUAAUGGCUGGGAGGUGGUGAAAAAUGGCUUUAAAUGGCACUCUGAAUUAUAAUACCAUUUUGCAGUUAAGGUUGUUUUUGCAAAGGCAGGAGACACAGGACACACAGGAAACAAGAAUCACCUUCACCUGCAGAGACCGAGGAAACUUGAUAUCCCAGUGUUAGCAUGGGAAGCCUCUGGAGGGGAGGGGUUGAGAUAUAGUAGCUAUUGCUGUUGCUGCACUAAGGCAGAGCUCUAGGACCCAAACACGUCCUCAAGAAGAGCUUGGGGGGGGGGUUAGAAGGGCCCAGGAGCAUUCCGCCCCUAUUGAACAGAAAAGCAGUUAGUGCAAAAAGCAGCACUGGAUUUGGAAACAGAUGCAAUAACAGUUAAGAUUGGAGAAAAUUAAAUUAGGGAAGGAAUUGCAGCAAAGUGUGGAAUUUUUAGUAGACACUGGAGCAACUUGUUCAGUGUUAAAUACUUCUCUAACUCAGUAAGUGAUGAAUUUGUAACCGUAAAGGAAGCCAUUGUCCAAGGUGAGAAGGCUUACUUUCUUAAGCCUUUAUAAUUUAGUAUAGAUAAACAGGUAGGGAUACACAAAUUUUGCACAUGCCAAAUUCACCAAAGUCUUUACUAGGGCAAGAUCUACUAGAACAACUGGAAGCUGAAUUAAAGUUUAGGAAAAGAAAAUUGGAAUUUAAGGUAAAAGAAGAUCAAUUUAAAAAGAUACUUAGUUUAGCACUGAUCACUACCCCUGCUGGGACCAGAAUCCCAGAUGAAGCAAGUAAUCAAGUUUAUCCUGGGGUGUGGGCAGUAAAAAACCCACAUAGGCCUAAGAAUACAGCACCAAUAGCAAUGAGAAUAAAGCAGGGAGCCCAGCUGUUUUGGAUUAACAGUACCCCCACAAAUGCAAAGACAAUAAAGGAAUCCAACCAAUAAGUGAUCAUUUUCAGAAAUUUGGGUUGUUAGUGGAAUGUGAGUCAAAACUCACCCAUCCUCCCAGUUAGAAAACCAGACAGGAGCUACUAGAUAGUACAAGAUUUAAGGACUAUCAAUAGAAUAGUGGAGGAUUUAUAACCAAUGGUAGCAAACCCAUAUAUGCUGCUCACAAAAUUAUCAGGGGAAUAGGCAUGGUUUACCAUUCUGGUCCUAAAAGAUGCCUUCUUUGGUCUACCAUUGAGGCCCGAAAGUCAGCUAAUGUCUGCCUUGUGUGUGUGAGAAUCCUGAUUCCCCAAGGGUUCAAAAUUAGCCCCACUCUUUUUGGGAACCAAGUUGCCAAAGACCUGGAGCAAUGGAUACAGCCCCAGGACAAGGAACCCUGUUACAGUACGUGAAUGACCUUCUGAUAGCUACUGAAACAAAGGAGGUGUGCAACAAGGACAAUUAGUCUACUAAACUUUCUCAGACUUAAUGGUUAUCGUUUCUCCACAGAAAGCCUAGGGGGCAUGACCACAAGUAACCUAUCUGCAUUAUGAAAUCGCUUCUGGAUUCUGAACCCUAGGAACAACAAGGAAGGAAGCAAUUUGCCGGACUCUGGAACCUCAAACAACUAAGGAGCUCCAGACUUUCCUAGGGAUGAUGAGGUGGUGCCGCCUAUAGAUAUACAACUAUGGAAUACUGGUAAAACCCCUCUAUGCCCUUUUGAAAUCCUGCCCAAAGAUCCUCAUACAGGUUGAGGAAGGCAAAUAAGAACAAGGUUUAACCGUGGCAAUUAGACAUCGACUCUGUUGUUAGUGCAGAACACUUUUAUUGCUUGUGAUGAACUUGAACAAUAUGCACUUCUUCAAGUGCCUUAUUAAACAUGACUCUCCUGCUGCAUGCAGCAGUGCUGGAUCUUCCACCUUGCUCUGAAGGAGAUGGUGCUGGAGCUUGGCUCGUCCCCUUUGUGCCGUCCUAUGGCACCCACAUCAGCACAGGCUCAGCUUGGGUUCUGGUAAGGUUGGUACCAGUCUUUGCUGUUGUGGGUGUUAGACUGAGGAACUGGGUCUUUCAGCCUCAUUUUAAACCUGUUGUACCUCAGUGGUGUCUCCUCGUAAUAGGUGAUGAGAUUGAACAGGCUGUCAAACACCAAGUUGUCAGUCAGGAACAACCUGGGGAUGCCUGCGUCCUGCCUCCAGUGGAUGCAGCAAUGCUGCACCCUUCCAUUACACCAGAAGGACAGAACGUAGUCUCCAACAAAUGUCUCACUCUCCCUGAUGAGGAAGGAGCCAACAGGGACUCCCAUCUCGGUGCAGUACUCUGUCAGCAGCCACUCAGCAAUGUGCCGCCCACCACUCCCAGCUUGCCAUGGAACCGUUCCUGUGUGAAAUGCAGCUCAGUGUUGUUGCUCACCUCCUUCUGCGCAGGUUGUCUCCCAUGUUUGUUUCUGGCUGGGACGUAAAGUGAGAUCCAUACGUAAUUGAUGGGGUUUUUCAUCAUUUGGCAAUCUGCCUUCUGCUCCUUUGUCACACAUGGACCCAUGGUUCCUUGCCACUCACUUCUAUCAGAAACCUCAGGUUUGUUGGGGCUUGCCCCUGGUCAGUUUGACCUUUAUAGCAUCUGCUCACACCCAUGCCAGGUGUACAAGCUAGAUGUCUGGUGAUUAUGUCAAGAGGUACUGUCUGACAUAAAUAGUUACAAUCUUUCGAUUUUCUUCCUCCAUGUCUGCCAAACUUAUUUACACCUCUCAAGGUCUUUCGCUAACCAGAGUAAGAAUGUCUUUAUUUCCUCCCAAUGAAAUACAGAUUAAAGGAAGCGAAAUAUAGGACCUGGAUAAAUUAAUUGAGGGGGCUUGGAGAGUAUAAAGAAACAGGGAUUGUAAUGAAAGAAAGAAACUGGGAAGAACAGUAGCAGUUGCACUAGAAGCAGUACAACUACCUGAGAAGGUGGCUAUGAUGUAUUGUAAAGCCCACCGGAAGGGAGAAACAACCAAAGAAAUGGGCAAUGCAUUAGAUGAGCGAGAAACAAAGAGUGGCAGAAGCGAAGGACAAAGAGGUGCAGGCUUUGGUUCCAGACAGAAAAAUUCAAAUUGAAGGUAAACCAAGAUAUUCAAGAGAGGACCAAAAAUUGAUAAAGGACUUAGGAGGGCAGGUUGGAAAAGGAGGGUGGGUUAGGGUUGAGAACAAAAUAAUAGUUCCCAUCUCCCUGUUAUGGGCCAUAAUCAUGGCUGAGCAAAGGAAAACUCACUGGAGGCCCUGUAUAAAUACCUGAGCCAACAAAUUGUGGCUUAGAAUUUAUACAUUUAUACACCACCAUUAAACAGGUAACACAGCAUGUGAGAUUUGUUUAAUCCUAGAAUGGGCCCCAGGGUCCCAUUGGGACAAAUAGGGAAGGGAAAUUAUCCUGAACAACAAUGGCAAAUUGAUUUAUCUGAACUCCCAAGAAAAGGGGGUAUAGGCAUAUACUGGUAUUAAAAGACACCUUUUCAGGUUAGCCAGAGGCUUUCUCUUGCAGGACAAAGAAAGUGCAGGAAGUAACUAAAAUAUCGUUACAAGAGAUAAUACCAAGAUUUGGGGUUCCAGAACAUCAUAUAUAUAGUGAAGAUAAAAGAACAAGCAUCAUAGAUCCGCUACACACAAGUUGAGAAGACAUCUCAAUCCCAGUGGACUAUUGAGAAGGCCAGACCGCUGAAACUAAGGAUUAAGAGACAAUAUGUUUAGAAUGUGUUUUAUAAGUUGCAUGUAUUAUAUACGAUUUGCUUUAGCCUGGUAUGAAAAUACAUACUUAAACAUCACUGAAGGAGUUGUGGCUAGCCUAAACUUCACUGACUGUUGGAUAUCUACAGCCUUGCCAAGAGAUGGAGGAAUGGAACUCCCUCAGUAUGGGAUUCCCUCCAUCAUUUGGACAUAUGGGGUGGAGCAGGAGUUAGGCGUAGAUGUGCAAAUAAGAUUGUGACAAUAGGAAAAAAGGGAUCUAAAUUCAGUAUACAACUACGAUACUUAAUUCGGAUUUACAGAACUGUGGAACAAAUUAACCAGUUGGUUACCGAACUUUGCCUGGCUAAAGCAACUCUUCAUGACUUGCAUAGUCCUACUCUUUCUGGAAUAUUCAUAUGUUACGUUGUUUCUUGUGUAUGUCUAAACAACCAGGUGAAAAUUAUGAGACGAGGAAACAGCAAAAAAUUCGCUAAAAGAUGGAAAGCAGGGUGUAUUUUCAUAAAUCCUUAGGAGAGAAUGGUAUCAUCUAACAACGCGAAGAUUGCUAGAUUAGAGAAAAGGGGGGAAUUGAUGUGGAACACAUUUAUUUAGAAUUGUUUCAGAACAGCAUUCACUUAAUUAUGAACUAGAUAAGGGGGUGUAGAGCGAACAAAGGGAAUGACAGGCGCUACAGUGAGGGAUGCUGAGGAGGGUUGAGUCACCCCUCCUAGCAACGGCCCAGAAAAGGGGAGGAGGGGAGAGGCGGGGAGCCAAAGAAUGCAACCUUAUCUCUCUCAUGCCACUCCAGGUACUCACGUGUUCCCAUAUUGGUCAUCCUAAUUUUGGAUUUUGAAAAAUGAAUAGCUUAGUACAAUUUAUAAAAUAUUUUUUAUCACUGCAUGUUUAAAGUUUUAAAAUUCUUUAAUUAUGGGAAAGCUUGAAUAGUGUACUAACAAGUUGUGCGGCAUUCAUUCUUUUCUAUAAUGAAUGUAAUGUACUUUUGAGCAAAUAAAUGGAAGUGCAAGCCAAGGGUCAGUAGUUUAACGUAAUGAAAAAUAAAAGCCAUCUGGAUCUGCAUGGUACAUCAUUAAUAAUCAGGUGACAAUUCCUGUAAUACUUGUAAGGUCAAGAUGACUUUCUUAAGGAACAAGAUGAACAGAAGCAUUUAAUUUUAGACCUAGAGGAGGAAAAAAGAGGACUUAAAGGCGAGAAUGCUCAGCUAACAGGUGCAGGUGUCAAGAAGUCAUUCAUCUGAAACCUGUCACCAUCAACAGAGAAAGGUGCAUUGUGCCUUCAAGCUUUUGUGACCCCACCAUUUGUUCCCUCAGGCUUUUUAGAAAGCAAAGAUCAGGUAAGGAAUUCGCAAUUCAUCUAGUAUUUGUAAGCUUACUGUUAAAUCUGUUAUAGUGUAAUAAGUUUUCACUGCUUGUUAUUUGCAUGAGCGUAAUUAUGCACUGGAUUGAAUUAGAAUAAUGUUGCAUGCACUGUUUAUUGUACAGCAAUAUCUGGGCUACAACGCUGCAUGUUCACUGAUACCUAAUCAAAUGCAAUUGGCUAGGUUUGCAUGCAGCUUCAGAAAACUAUGCCUGUCCUUGCAGUGCAAAACACAUUGCAUACUAAAUAAAUUGCAAGCAGUAUCAAUAACAAGUAGAACAGGGGAGCGAAGUAUUUCAUACCAGCAUUGAACAUAUUCUUAUCUUCUCUGCAGCUAUGUUGUGCUGAAUGGUUUGGAAGAGAUUCCUCCACAUAUCUUGCGCAUUAACCCAUCUUCAUUAAGAGUGAAAAUCAAAGUCAUUGAUGACAGUAUCCCAAUAUUUUGAAGUGAAAUUCGAUAUCAACAAGCAUCAGUGAAAAAUGACACUGGAAAGGAAGAUGCUUCCACUGUGUUUUCAGAGGAUGGAUAGUGACAUAGGGAAGCAAUCAGUCGUGUUUGUGAAGCUGUGCCUGGUGCCAAAGGGGCCUCCAAGAAACGAAAGACACCGAACAAAGUUCUGUCCAGCAUCUUGGGAAAGAGCAAUCUUCAGUUUGCAGGAGUGAGCAUAAUGCUGAAUAUUUCUACUGCAAGCUUAAACCUUAUGACUCCCGAUAUGAAACAGGUGAGUAUAAGUAGCAUAUUAAUUUGUGAGUCUUUUGGCAAACAGCCUAUUGUGCAGUUGUUCGUAGUCUACCAAAGUACUGGAUCAAGGUGUUAUUAGUCAACAUUGUUAAUAAAGUGAAUGAAAAUAGAAUAUAAAUCAUAUUAGGAGACAUAUUAUGCUGGAGCAUUCAACACAGAUUUGAUUUUCUCCUUACCAUGCUUGA
Meleagris gallopavo (turkey) is the source of this 8456-nucleotide non-coding RNA. Lineage: Eukaryota; Metazoa; Chordata; Aves; Galliformes; Phasianidae. The record is from RefSeq and is a predicted model, not a curated record.